RNAcentral lists this ribosomal RNA (336 nucleotides) under Clostridioides difficile. RNAcentral's name for it is "bacterial LSU rRNA". It matches the Rfam family "Bacterial large subunit ribosomal RNA", at positions 1373 to 1706 of the family's 2925-position model. Lineage: Bacteria; Bacillati; Bacillota; Clostridia; Peptostreptococcales; Peptostreptococcaceae. The record is from RNAcentral.
CCCUGGGUUAGUCGGGACCUAAGCUGAGGCCGAAAGGCGUAGGUGAUGGACAACAGGUUGAUAUUCCUGUACUACCGAUAACCGUGUGAGAGAAGGGAUGACACAGUAGGAUAAGCUAAGCACACUGUUGGUUAUGUGUGCCCAAGCAUUGAGGCAGUCAAAGUAGGCAAAUACGCUUUGAUAAUGCUGGGAUGUGAUGGGGAGCGAACUUUAGUAGCGAAGUAGCUGAUUUCACACUGUCAAGAAAAGUCUCUAUCGAGGUUAAAGGUACCCGUACCGCAAACCGACACAGGAGGGUGAGGAGAGUAUCCUAAGGCCAGCGAGAGAACUGUUGUU